CCUACGGGAGGCAGCAGUGAGGAAUAUUGGUCAAUGGGCGGAAGCCUGAACCAGCCAAGCAGCGUGCAGGAUGACGGCUCUACGGGUUGUAAACUGCUUUUAUACGGGAGUAACGUGCCUUACGUGUAGCGCUUUGCAAGUACCGUACGAAUACGGACCGGCUAACUCCGUGCCAGCAGCCGCGGUAAUACGGAGGGUCCAGGCGUUAUCCGGAUUUAUUGGGUUUAAAGGGAGCGUAGGGUGUAUGGAAAGCGGGCUGUGAAAUGUCCGGGCUCAACCCGGGCAUUGCAGCGCGAACUGGGGGGCUUGAGUGCGGGAGCGGCAGGCGGAAUUCGUGGUGUAGCGGUGAAAUGCUUAGAUAUGGCGAAGAACACCGAUUGCGAAGGCAGCUUGCUGGAGCGGAACUGACGCUGAUGCACGAAGGCGCGGGGAGCGAACAGGAUUAGAUACCCUAGUAGUC
RNAcentral lists this ribosomal RNA (460 nucleotides) under uncultured bacterium. RNAcentral describes it as "partial 16S ribosomal RNA". It matches the Rfam family "Bacterial small subunit ribosomal RNA", at positions 338 to 795 of the family's 1533-position model. The record is from RNAcentral.